Long non-coding RNA from Sander lucioperca (pikeperch), 101 nucleotides. RefSeq lists it as uncharacterized. The transcript is spliced from 3 exons. NCBI's taxonomy places the organism in Eukaryota, Metazoa, Chordata, Actinopteri, Perciformes, Percidae. The record is from RefSeq and is a predicted model, not a curated record.
GUGAGACUUACAUUUUGGCGACGUGUUAAUUCUGAAUUGGGAAAUUACGACGCAAUGUCGUUAAAACAUAAAUGCAUCUGGUGAAGUUUUAAUUGAAUUUU